GUGUUUGCUUAAGUAGCACAUAUACUAAAAUUCUAACAAUACAGAGUAGAUUAGCAUGGUUCUUGCACAAAGAUGACACACAAAUUUGUGAAUGAUUUCUUGUUAAA
Hyaena hyaena (striped hyena) is the source of this 107-nucleotide small nuclear RNA. NCBI's taxonomy places the organism in Eukaryota, Metazoa, Chordata, Mammalia, Carnivora, Hyaenidae. The record is from RefSeq and is a predicted model, not a curated record.